This 330-nucleotide long non-coding RNA is filed under the name Lathyrus oleraceus (garden pea). Its description in RNAcentral is "Pisum sativum (pea) long non-coding RNA (PSAT_LNC015717)". The record is from RNAcentral. Lineage: Eukaryota; Viridiplantae; Streptophyta; Magnoliopsida; Fabales; Fabaceae.
AAUAGAGAAAAUGAAAAUGAAUGCUUGCUUGAAAGAAAAAUAGUGAAAAACAAAAAUUGAGUUGUGAAAUAAGAGUUGUGAAGGUUUCAAAUGAGAAACAAAUGGAACGAAGUUGAGAUGUGUUAAAAUGAAAAUGAAUGCUUGCUUGAAAGAAAAAUAGUGAAAAACAAAAAUUGAGUUGUGAAAUAAGAGUUGUGAAGGUUUCAAAUGAGAAACAAAUGGAACGAAGUUGAGAUGUGUGAAUAAUGUACGGUGAAUGUCUCUUUUGCAUCGGCAAUUUCGUUUUCAAUGGCCUUAGAAAUGACCCUUGUUUGUAAACCUAACCAAGCU